GAAAUUAAAAAAUUAAAGAAAAAUAUAAUUAAUAAAAGAAUUUUUAACUAAAAAAUUAAAUUAAAGUAAUUAUUUAAGAAAAAAUAAAAAAUAUUUAUAAUUAAUUAGUAUUGUAAAAGAAUUUUGAAAUAAUUUAAAUAUAAAUUAAUUAAAAGUAAUUUUUAUUUAAUGUAUCUUGUGUAUCAGAGUUUAUUAAAAAAUUAAUUUAUAAAAAUAAUUCUCGAAUUUAAGAGAGAUAAUUAAUUAUAAAAUUUAUUGUAGAAUAAAUAUUUUUAAUAAUUAAUUUGAAAUGAAAUGUUAAUCGUUCUUAAAUAUAUCUAGUUUUUUUAGAAAAAAAUUUAAUUUAGAAUUUAUUUAUUUAUUUUAAAUUUUUAUUUUUAAAAUAAAAAAAUAAAUUUAAUAAUUUAAGGGAUAAGCUUUAAAUUAAAUUAAUAUAAUUAAUUUAAUUUAAAUUAGGAAAAUUAUAUGAUUUAUAUUGUUAAAUAUUUUUAAUUUAUUAUAAAUAAUUUCAUAAAAAAUAAAAUUUAAUAGAAAUUUAUAAUUUUAUAAAAAAGAAUAUUAAAAUUGAAUAAAUAUUGUUAUAAUGAUAAAAUUAGUAUAAAAAUAAAUAAAUAAAAUUUAAUUUUAAAAAAUUAUUUUUUAGGAAUUCGGCAAAAAUAAAUAUUCACUUGUUUAUCAAAAACAUGUCUUUUUGUAAAUAAUUUAAAGUCUAAUCUGCCCACUGAUUUUAAAUUAAAGGGCUGCAGUAUUUUGACUGUACAAAGGUAGCAUAAUCAUUAGUCAUUUAAUUGAUGACUUGUAUGAAAGAUUGGAUGAGAUAUUAUCUGUCUUAAUAAUAAAUUGUAGAAUUUAAUUUUUUAGUUAAAAAGCUAAAAUAAUUUAAAAAGACGAGAAGACCCUAUAGAGUUUAAUUAAAUUAUAAAAUUUAUUAAUUUAUAUAAAUUUAUGUUAGGAAUUUUAUUUUUAAUUUUAUUGGGGUGAUAGAAAAAUUAAAUUAACUUUUUUUAAAAUAUUAACAUAUAUAAGUGAAUAUUUGAUCCAAUUUUAUUGAUUAAAAGAAAAAAUUACCUUAGGGAUAACAGCGUAAUUUUUUUUUUUAGUUCAUAUAAAAAAAAAAGUUUGCGACCUCGAUGUUGGAUUAAGAUAAAAUUUAAAUGUAGAAGUUUAAAGUUUUGAUCUGUUCGAUCAUUAAAAUCUUACAUGAUCUGAGUUCAAACCGGUGUAAGCCAGGUUGGUUUCUAUCUUUUAUAAUAAAAAAAUAUUUUAGUACGAAAGGAUUGAAUAUUUAAAUUAAAUUUAUUAUUUAGAAUUUUAUAAAAAAAAAUUAAUAAAAAAAUAUUUUUAAUUGAAAUAUAGAAUGACUAUUUUGACAGAAAAAAUG
RNAcentral lists this ribosomal RNA (1381 nucleotides) under Euproctis seitzi. RNAcentral describes it as "16S ribosomal RNA". The record is from RNAcentral. Lineage: Eukaryota; Metazoa; Arthropoda; Insecta; Lepidoptera; Erebidae.